RNAcentral lists this long non-coding RNA (531 nucleotides) under Daucus carota (carrot). Its description in RNAcentral is "long non-coding RNA (DCAR_LNC000506)". Lineage: Eukaryota; Viridiplantae; Streptophyta; Magnoliopsida; Apiales; Apiaceae. The record is from RNAcentral.
UAUCUACCAACACUACGAGAGUGAGGAAGCUUCAGAAUCAGAUGAAUAAUGAGACAAGAGCUUAUACUAUGUGUAUAUAUUCAACAUUGCAUGCCAGUGCAAUAUAUAAAUAUUACGCCGCUUCUUUAUGCGGCUUUGACGCCGGUGGGAAAAACCGGUGGAGGAGAGUAAACACGGCCAGCCACAUUCAUUUCCUCCAAUGUGCAAUGCCCGGGGCUCUUGCCGCCGGGGAUGUGCGUGCAGGGAUUCGCCGCCGAAGGUGGCACCGGACCCCUCUGCAGCGACUCCACAAGUGGAACUGGCAAUUCUUUCAGCCAUGCCUUGUAUUCACCUAAAGGCCUCAUCGCAUUUGCACUUUGGAAAUCACUAAAAAGAAACAUAAUUGUGACACUGAUGCAUAAAAUCUUGGAGCUGUUCUUGAGGAACCACAUUUUUGUUUAUUACACAGAGCUACUCAAGUAUAGUUAUUCUCAAGUACAGUAUAUAAAAUGAAAUGAAGGAAAUUAAUGAGUUGUGAGUACUUGUGUGCUU